RNAcentral lists this small RNA (813 nucleotides) under Pongo abelii (Sumatran orangutan). RNAcentral's name for it is "retained intron". The record is from RNAcentral. Lineage: Eukaryota; Metazoa; Chordata; Mammalia; Primates; Hominidae.
AGAGAUGGCAGGCGGAGGACACCGGCGCGUCGUGGGCACCCUCCACCUGCUGCUGCUGGUGGCCGCCCUGCACUGGGCAUCCAGGGGGGUCAGUCCGAGUGCCUUAGCCUGGCCAGAGGAGAAGAAUUAUCACCAACCAGCCAUUUUGAAUUCAUCGGCUCUUCGGCAAAUUGCAGAAGGCACCAGUAUCUCUGAAAUGUGGCAAAAUGACUUACAGCCGUUGCUGGUAGAGCGAUACCCGGGAUCCCCUGGAAGCUAUGCUGCUCGUCAGUGAGUGGAGAUCUGAAAUAACCCCAACCACCCCCUAGCUAUGGGAGCUUUCUACAUUUUCCUUAGCAGCACAUCAUGCAGCGAAUUCAGAGGCUUCAGGCUGACUGGGUCUUGGAAAUAGACACCUUCUUGAGUCAGACACCCUAUGGGUACCGGUCUUUCUCAAAUGUCAUCAGCACCCUCAAUCCCACUGCUAAACGACAUUUGGUCCUCGCCUGCCACUAUGACUCCAAGUAUUUUUCCCACUGGAACAACAGAGUGUUUGUAGGAGCCACUGAUUCAGCCGUGCCAUGUGCAAUGAUGUUGGAACUUGCUCGUGCCUUGGACAAGAAACUCCUUUCCUUAAAGGUAUCUGUUUUCUGCUUGUUGAUUCCUAGGAUAAAGUACAUUAGCAGUAACUCAGAGUGAAUUCUAGAAUCCUUGGAGGAAUGAGAAGGCCAUUUAGAAAUGGAGACUUUUGGUACAUUUUUAUUGUGAAUAUUAAUUGAAAGAUUGCAUGAUUUGGAAUAUCAACCAUGGGCAAUAAACCUAAGAUACGUGGCA